GGGAUUUUUUUAGACUGAUUUCAUACGAUUCAAAAUUGUAUGCAAUCGGCGGCUAUAAUGGUAAAACUUUAAAUAGCAUCGAAACAUACGAUACACUAACAAAUAAAUGGCAAUCAAUAGCACCGAUGAAUAUAAUACGAUAUGGUCAUGAUGCAACUGUAAUUCAAAAUACAAU
This is a long non-coding RNA of Oppia nitens, 175 nucleotides long. RefSeq lists it as uncharacterized. Lineage: Eukaryota; Metazoa; Arthropoda; Arachnida; Sarcoptiformes; Oppiidae. The record is from RefSeq and is a predicted model, not a curated record. The transcript has 3 exons.